GUUAGGGUUGGUUCAUACAUUAAAUAAUUAAUUUUAAAAAAAAUCAGAUUUUUUAAAUAUCAAACUUUCAAUCUGAUUUUAGAAUGUAAAAUACUUAAAGUAUGGUUUAGUGUAAUCAGAACAGGUUCAAACGCAACUUCUUAGCCACCUAGCCAAACGAGACAUUAAGAUAGGCAAUUCAAACUACUAUUACCUCUACAUCUCAAGCUGUUGACUACUCCGUAGUACAUGUCCUCAAUAUUAUAGAAUAAUGGAGCAGAAAUGCAUUUUCUCUUUGGCACCCCACCACAUAACUUCAAUAGACUAUCACGGAAUUUUUUUAAAGUAAAUAAAAACCACAUGUAGUCUUGUUUCUUUUCUCUAUAUUUCUCCACUGAUCCUUUUAAGUAGGCAAAUGACUUCUUUAGAUCUGAUAUGAAAAGGUAAGAUACUGAAGAGAAAAAAUAAAAGAGAUCUCUUGUCAGUCCAACUAUUACAGACUUAAAAGAGUUCUAAAGCUUUCAUCAAAAGCUAUGGAAGGCUACUUGAAGAUCACCUCUUAUUGGAGUAGUAAAAUAUUCAUGCCAACUUUACUUUGCAUAUAAAUAACAACUUAUAUAAAUAUGUAGGUGAUCCGAACAAAUCCUCGUGCACAAUAUUUGCAGCGAGAAUAAAUAAUGAUGUUCCAAAAUGUAGCAAAGAAAAUAGCAUACCUGUAUGGCUUGACUGUCAUUUUUCUGUCAUUGGAGAAUCGUCCAUGCCCUAUAAAAUACUCAUAAACAAUGAAUACUCUUGGUCAUAAUCAAAAAAAUAUAACAUAAAUAUAUAGAAAACAGGUUCCAAGUGGUAUUACCUUCAGAAGAAAUUUUCAAAUGUUAAUAACAAAGCUUCUCCGAAUUUCUAUGGUUAUCCCAGAAACAAGAUAAAUAAGUUCACUCCUCAAAUUUCUAGAAGCAAUCUGUCAGAAAAUGAUAAUCAAACAUCGUCCGUGUUACGCCCAUAUUUGAACCACUUCGGAAAGUCCACCACCACAUCAUGCGAGGUGUGGAACACUCAUUCGAAGUGGUUUCGAAGUGACUUCACCAAUGAUGACGAUCUGCUAUCACACUACGAGACAUAGGCAAUUCUGCGGGACUGAUCGAAGCGCCCUCGUCCUUGAAUCCGAGACGAAAUGCACUUCGGUGACCUCUGUCAGAGGAUCCGCCGUCAAUUUCAAAAUGAGAUCUUUGUCAAGAUCUUUUUUGCCCUUAAAGUUUAAAGUGAUUUGACGUCUCCAUGAGACUUAGUUGAUGUGACGUAUCAAUUUUAUGUCAACUCAACUUGGGAGAAGUAAUUACCCACCCACUCUAUAGACACGGCUGAUUGACGUCUAUGAGCAGAUGCCUCAUAUCGUCAGAUGUAUACACUUGUCCCACAUUCAACGAUUCUCCUCACCUAUAAACAUCCAAGGCUUAGCAAGAUGCAAAGGUAAUGAAACUCUUACUACUGAGCACUCCAUAGCAAGCAAAUAUAUAUAUAUAUAUGAUUUAGUCCCCUAACAUUUAUGAUUUAGUCCCCUAACAUUUUGAUUAACAUAUUUCAUUGCCCCCAACUUUGAAAAGUGAGUUUUUAAGUCUUGAAUAGAAAUUAAUGAAAUGUGUAAAUAAAAUUAAUGGUUUAUUGUAAAAUAAGUUGUUAUCGAUUUAUUUUUUAAACUAAAUCAAAG
Molecule: long non-coding RNA, 1684 nt
Filed under: Olea europaea subsp. europaea
Lineage: Eukaryota; Viridiplantae; Streptophyta; Magnoliopsida; Lamiales; Oleaceae
Source: RNAcentral